AGUGAACGCUGGCGGUAGGCCUAACACAUGCAAGUCGAACGGCAGCACAGUAAGAGCUUGCUCUUACGGGUGGCGAGUGGCGGACGGGUGCGGAAUACAUCGGAAUCUACUUUUUCGUGGGGGAUAACGUAGGGAAACUUACGCUAAUACCGCAUACGACCUACGGUUGAAAGCAGGGGAUCUUCGGACCUUGCGCGAUUGAAUGAGCCGAUGUCGGUUUAGCUAGUUGGCGGGGUAGAGGCCCACCAAGGCGACGAUCCGUAGCUGGUCUGAGAGGAUGAUCAGCCACACUGGAACUGAGACACGGUGCAGACGCCUACGGGAGGCAGCAGUGGGGAAUAUUGGACAAUGGGCGCAAGCCUGAUCCAGCCAUACCGCGUGGGUGAAGAAGGCCUUCGGGUUGUAAAGCCCUUUUGUUGGGAAAGAAAAGCAGCAGGUUAAUACCCCGCUGUUCUGACGGUACCCAAAGAAUAAGCACCGGCUAACUUCGUG
Molecule: ribosomal RNA, 492 nt
Filed under: uncultured bacterium
Lineage: Bacteria
Description: partial 16S ribosomal RNA
Rfam family: Bacterial small subunit ribosomal RNA
Source: RNAcentral